This 432-nucleotide ribosomal RNA is filed under the name uncultured bacterium. RNAcentral describes it as "partial 16S ribosomal RNA". It matches the Rfam family "Bacterial small subunit ribosomal RNA", at positions 29 to 506 of the family's 1533-position model. The record is from RNAcentral.
AACGAACGCUGGCGGCAUGCCUAACACAUGCAAGUCGAACGAGACCUUCGGGUCUAGUUGCGCACGGGUGCGUAACGCGUGGGAACCUGCCCUUAGGUUCGGAAUAACUCCCCGAAAGGGGUGCUAAUACCGGUUAAUGUCUUCGGACCAAAGAUCUAUGGCCUCUGGAUGGGCCCGCGUUGGAUUAGCCAGUUGGUAGGGUACAAGCCUACCAAGGCGACGAUCCAUAGCUGGUGUGAGAGGAUGAUCAGCCACACUGGGACUGGGACACGGCCCAGACUCCUGCGAGAGGCAGCAGUGGGGAAUAUUGGACAAUGGGCGAAAGCCUGAUCCGGCGAGGCCGGGGGAGUGAUGAAGGCCUUAGGGUUGUAAAGCUCUUUUACCCGGGAUGAUAAUGACAGUACCGGGAGAAUAAGCUCCGGCUAACUCCGU